Non-coding RNA from Notechis scutatus (mainland tiger snake), 1031 nucleotides. The record is from RefSeq and is a predicted model, not a curated record. Lineage: Eukaryota; Metazoa; Chordata; Lepidosauria; Squamata; Elapidae.
AGGAGCUGUAGCACUUAAAAAUCUUGAAAUAAAAGAAAAUGCAUUGUAUCAAUUUGAUGUCCCCUUUAAAGUUAAAGCAGGUCAUAUUGGUCAGCUAAAUUUGCAAAUACCAUGGAAAAAUCUUUAUACUCAGCCAGUUGAAGCUGUUUUAGAUGAAGUUUAUCUGCUUAUAGUACCUACAGCUAGUAUUAAAUAUGAUGCUGAAAAAGAAGAAAAGCAACAGCUGGAAGCAAAGCAAAAAGAAUUGCAAAGAAUUGAAGAUGCAAAACAAAAGAUUGCUGACAAAGGUAAGAAAAGAUCCAAUAGUCAUUCAGUUUUAACUUCAACUCCAACUGAAUGGUGGCUCACAAAAUAAAGCAUAUCAAAAGCAAAUCAAUAUGAAUACAGUAAAAUUAAUUUAAAAAGAGUUACCAAAUACAGGUAGUCCUUAAGAUAUGACAGUCACUUAACAGCCAUUUGAAAAUCCCCCCCACCCCAGGCUUAUACAACCUUGUUUCAAAGUUGUGGUGGCUGCAGCACUCCCCAUGUCUUUUUCCCUUACAACCAACCAUAGUGAUACUACAGUGCCCCCCACCUCUCCCCUUAUCCUAUUGGGACCCUGCAGUGCUUGGGUCUGCUCUCCAUGCCUCUUGGAAGCGGGCACCAUUUUCAGCACUUUCCACAAUUUCUUGUGGAAAUGCUGACUACUUUUGGAGUUUUCUGUCAAGAUCAGCUGGCCUUUGGGAGACUGCAAAUUUCUCCUGGAUCUUGCUAGGCUUUGGAAAAGCCCGCUGCCUGCAUGCAAGGGUGACAGCUGCAGGAGAGUCAUUCCAAAAGAGGUUUUCCCCCUUUUCCUUGCUUAACCCUUCCUUCCCCCAAAAACCUAAUUUGUUCAAAAAAGAAAACAGAAACAAAAGUUGGGAGGGACAGACUUGUUGAUCUUUCUUCCUACUCUUCCACCAAUUAGGUAACAGAAAGAGGGUGACAGAAUCUGUCAGUUACUAAUUUGAUGGGUGACUGCCAGACUGAAGAGUAAAGGAAAGGAAGGAAGG